UACAGAGGGAGCAAGCGUUGUUCGGAAUUACUGGGCGUAAAGGGCGCGUAGGCGGCCCGCUAAGUCGAACGUGAAAUCCCCGAGCUCAACUCGGGAACUGCGUCCGAUACUGGCGGGCUUGAAUCCGGGAGAGGGAUGCGGAAUUCCAGGUGUAGCGGUGAAAUGCGUAGAUAUCUGGAGGAACACCGGUGGCGAAGGCGGCAUCCUGGACCGGCAUUGACGCUGAGGCGCGAAAGCUAGGGGAGCAAACGGG
This 253-nucleotide ribosomal RNA is filed under the name uncultured bacterium. RNAcentral describes it as "partial 16S ribosomal RNA". It matches the Rfam family "Bacterial small subunit ribosomal RNA", at positions 524 to 776 of the family's 1533-position model. The record is from RNAcentral.